This 429-nucleotide ribosomal RNA is filed under the name uncultured Filomicrobium sp. RNAcentral describes it as "bacterial SSU rRNA". It matches the Rfam family "Bacterial small subunit ribosomal RNA", at positions 29 to 505 of the family's 1533-position model. The record is from RNAcentral. Lineage: Bacteria; Pseudomonadati; Pseudomonadota; Alphaproteobacteria; Hyphomicrobiales; Hyphomicrobiaceae.
AACGAACGCUGGCGGCAGGCCUAACACAUGCAAGUCGAACGCAUCUUCGGAUGAGUGGCAGACGGGUGAGUAACGCGUGGGAACCUACCUAAUGGUACGGAAUAACUCGGGGAAACCCGUGCUAAUACCGUAUAAGCCCGAGAGGGGAAAGAUUUAUCGCCAUUAGAUGGGCCCGCGUUGGAUUAGCUAGUUGGUGAGGUAAUGGCUCACCAAGGCGACGAUCCAUAGCUGGUUUGAGAGGAUGAUCAGCCACACUGGGACUGAGACACGGCCCAGACUCCUACGGGAGGCAGCAGUGGGGAAUAUUGGACAAUGGGCGAAAGCCUGAUCCAGCCAUGCCGCGUGAGUGACGAAGGCCUUAGGGUUGUAAAGCUCUUUUGGCGGGGACGAUAAUGACGGUACCCGCAGAAUAAGCCCCGGCUAACUUCG